This 497-nucleotide ribosomal RNA is filed under the name uncultured bacterium. RNAcentral describes it as "partial 16S ribosomal RNA". It matches the Rfam family "Bacterial small subunit ribosomal RNA", at positions 28 to 507 of the family's 1533-position model. The record is from RNAcentral.
GAUGAACGCUGGCGGCGUGCCUAAUACAUGCAAGUCGAGCGAACAGACGAGGAGCUUGCUCCUUUGACGUUAGCGGCGGACGGGUGAGUAACACGUAGGUAACCUACCUAUAAGACUGGGAUAACUUCGGGAAACCGGAGCUAAUACCGGAUAAUAUUUCGAACCGCAUGGUUCGAUAGUGAAAGAUGGCUUUGCUAUCACUUAUAGAUGGACCUGCGCCGUAUUAGCUAGUUGGUAAGGUAACGGCUUACCAAGGCAACGAUACGUAGCCGACCUGAGAGGGUGAUCGGCCACACUGGAACUGAGACACGGUCCAGACUCCUACGGGAGGCAGCAGUAGGGAAUCUUCCGCAAUGGGCGAAAGCCUGACGGAGCAACGCCGCGUGAGUGAUGAAGGUCUUCGGAUCGUAAAAUUCUGUUAUUAGGGAAGAACAAACGUGUAAGUAACUGUGCACGUCUUGACGGUACCUAAUCAGAAAGCCACGGCUAACUACGUG